This 440-nucleotide ribosomal RNA is filed under the name uncultured bacterium. RNAcentral describes it as "partial 16S ribosomal RNA". It matches the Rfam family "Bacterial small subunit ribosomal RNA", at positions 338 to 795 of the family's 1533-position model. The record is from RNAcentral.
CCUACGAGAGUCAGCAGUAGGGAAUAUUGCUCAAUGGGGGAAACCCUGAAGCAGCAACGCCGCGUGGAGGAUGAAGGUUUUCGGAUUGUAAACUCCUUUUGUUCGAGACGAUAAUGACGUUAUCUAACGAAUAAGCACCGGCUAACUCCGUGCCAGCAGCCGCGGUAAUACGGAGGGUGCAAGCGUUACUCGGAAUCACGGGGCGUAACGAGCGCGUAGGCGGGAUAGCAAGUCAGAUGUGAAAUCCUAUGGCUUAACCAUAGAACUGAAUUUGAAACUGUUAUUCUAGAGUAUGGGAGAGGUAGGUGGAAUUCUUGGUGUAGGGGUAAAAUCCGUAGAGAUCAAGAGGAAUACUCAUUGCGAAGGCGACCUGCUAGAACAUAACUGACGCUGAUGCGCGAAAGCGUGGGGAGCAAACAGGAUUAGAUACCCGGGUAGUC